RNAcentral lists this ribosomal RNA (499 nucleotides) under uncultured bacterium. RNAcentral describes it as "partial 16S ribosomal RNA". It matches the Rfam family "Bacterial small subunit ribosomal RNA", at positions 28 to 507 of the family's 1533-position model. The record is from RNAcentral.
GACGAACGCUGGCGGCGUGCUUAACACAUGCAAGUCGAACGGGCCCGCUCUCUUUUUUGGGGGUGGGUUGAGUGGCGAACGGGUGAGUAUCACGUGAGUAACCUGCCCCCUGCUCCUGGAUAACUGCUUGAAAGGGCGGCUAAUACGGGGUGUGCCGGCUGGUCCGCAUGGGCCUGGUCGGGAUAGUUUCAUCUUCGGGUGUUUCGGUGGGGGAUGGGCUCGCGGCCUAUCAGCUUGUUGGUGGGGUGAUGGCCCACCAAGGCGGUGACGGGUAGCCGGCCUGAGAGGGUGGGCGGCCACACGGGGACGGAGACACGGCCCAGACUCCUGCGGGAGGCAGCAGUGGGGGGUAUUGCACAAUGGGCGGAAGCCUGAUGCAGCGACGUCGCGUGAGGGAUGGAGGCCUUCGGGUGGGGAACCUCUUUCUCCGGUGGUGAAGGCCCUGUCCGUUGCGGCGGGGUUGACGGUAGCCGGGUAUGAAGCGCCGGCUAACUACGUG